CCUACGGGAGGCAGCAGUGGGGAAUAUUGGACAAUGGGCGAAAGCCUGAUCCAGCAAUGCCGCGUGAGUGAUGAAGGCCUUAGGGUUGUAAAGCUCUUUUACCAGGGAUGAUAAUGACAGUACCUGGAGAAUAAGCUCCGGCUAACUCCGUGCCAGCAGCCGCGGUAAUACGGAGGGAGCUAGCGUUGUUCGGAAUUACUGGGCGUAAAGCGUACGUAGGCGGUUAUUCAAGUCAGAGGUGAAAGCCUGGAGCUCAACUCCAGAACUGCCUUUGAAACUAGAUAGCUAGAAUCUUGGAGAGGUGAGUGGAAUUCCGAGUGUAGAGGUGAAAUUCGUAGAUAUUCGGAAGAACACCAGUGGCGAAGGCGACUCACUGGACAAGUAUUGACGCUGAGGUACGAAAGCGUGGGGAGCAAACAGGAUUAGAUACCCUGGUAGUCCACGCCGUAAACGAUGAUAACUAGCUGUUCGGGCUCUACGAGCUUGAGUGGCGCAGCUAACGCAUUAAGUUAUCCGCCUGGGGAGUACGGGUCGCAAGAUUAAAACUCAAAUGAAUUGACGG
RNAcentral lists this ribosomal RNA (562 nucleotides) under uncultured bacterium. Its description in RNAcentral is "bacterial SSU rRNA". It matches the Rfam family "Bacterial small subunit ribosomal RNA", at positions 338 to 916 of the family's 1533-position model. The record is from RNAcentral.